Pezoporus occidentalis (night parrot) is the source of this 852-nucleotide long non-coding RNA. RefSeq lists it as uncharacterized. The record is from RefSeq and is a predicted model, not a curated record. NCBI's taxonomy places the organism in Eukaryota, Metazoa, Chordata, Aves, Psittaciformes, Psittacidae. The transcript is spliced from 4 exons.
CACCCACCAGCUUCAGUCAAAGGGAUGACUUCAGUCCCUUUCUUAACUAAUCCUGUCACUGUAAAAUCCUACAGUCAUUCUUCCACACAUAAAGGGAAAACGGACUCACUAGGAGGACUUAGACUCUUUCAGCUUGAACUGUUAGCCAAUGGUGGAAAUGCAAGAAUGCUGAAGUUGUGCCUUCGGAGCCAAUAGAGUGGAUUUGUGUGUCCCACAUGACUGUGUUUCCCCUGUCUUUCACAUGGGCAGUAUUUAGUUCAAUUCAGAACUGCAGAUAGUAUAGCGUGCAGAGCAGCAAUGGGAUGUCUGAGCACAAGUGGCUGACUUCCAGGCGACUUCAGGAAGCGCAUUUGUAAUAUUUCUCCUGAAUUAAACUGGGAUUCUGCACUCUUGACAUCCUCCGACCCUCCUUGUCUCUGCAGAAGGAGACAGCGACCUGCACAGCACAGCAAAACUACAAAUCACUGCAGAGCUGCAGACCAGCAAAGGAAGUGAACUGAGGGCAAUUUGACCAACAUCGUCUGUGUCAGCUCCCCAGAGGUUGAUGAAACAUGUUAUCAGGUCUCCAAGGAGGAGGGGAAGAAAUAAACCACUGCAAAAACAAAAACUGCUUUCCUCAUGGAAGAAUGGUAACUUUGGACAAUAUUUGGCACCACAAGUUCAAAGGGCUAUUUCAUCUGCAUUAUGAGCAGCCAGGUGCCAGCUGGUGUAAAGGCAGAUGCCACUGACGUCAAUGGAGCAGUGCCAGUUUGCACUAGCUGAGAAUCUGAUCCCAAGUGUGUUAGAACCAUUUUUAGAUGCUGACACUGGAAUUGAUUUUUGCAACACAAUUAAAAAUACACCCAUGCACUG